GAAACUGUCUCCAACGCGUUGUUAGUCCUUGCCAAUUAACGACAGGCAGCUGUCCAUUUGGUCUCCAGGAACGUCAGUGGUCUUUUCUCACAUAAAAGAACUCACAAAUGGUUGGUAUAUAUACUUUUUGCUAAUAUUUUUCACCAGCUUCAACAGAUAGUGUCAGAAGUGGGAUGUGAGAGAAGUAACCGUUGAGUUCCAGACGGAUCCUCCACUCCCAUCUCCUUGCGAAGAACUGGACGGACGAUCCACCCAGCCAGCCAGUCGGCUAAGGUAAGAACAAUUUUGUUCCGUUUGGUCGGUGUUAUUGUCCGUUCAGUAAUACGUAAGUAAUUAAUCCUGCCAUAAUAAACUGUCUGAUUAAUUGGAUAUACUCAAUACGAUUUGACAUUUUUAUGCGGAAAUAUUAGCAAGGAGUAUAUUUUCAUUAUUUGUGGUUUUAGAUGGUAGCCAAAAUAAGACAAAAAAAAAAAAAAAAAGGGCACCACCAGAUGGGGUGAAAACACUGUGGGAGGGUCCGGUUUUCAGCUAUAUUGAAGGCGCGGAAAAACCUGGAGUUUCCCAGGUCAGUCUUAUUAAUUAUUAUAUGUCUUGACAUACAGACCCUCCAAAAGUAUUGGAAAGGCAAGGUCAAUUCCUUUGUUUUGUUGUAUACUGAAGACAUUUGGGUUUCAGAUCAAAAGAUGAAUAUGUGACAAAAGUUGAGAAUUCCAGCUUUUCUUUCAUGGUAUUUACAUCAAGAUGUGUUAAAGAACUCAGGACAGCGCAGCUUUUGUUCUCAAGUGAGGAAAAGUAUUGGAAGAGACAUGAUUAAAUUAACUUAGUGAAUAACAUUUAAAUAUUUGGUGGCAUAACCCUUACUUGCAAUAACUGCAUCAAGCCUGCGGCCCAUUGACUUCACCAGACUGUUGCAUUCUUCAUUUGAAAUGCUUUUCCAGGCCUUUACUGCAGCCUCUUUCAGUUCUUGUUUGUUUCUGGGUGUUUCUCCCUUCAGUCUCCUCUACAGGAGGUAAAAUGCAUGCUCUAUUGGGUUAAGGUCCAGUGAUUGACUUGGCCAGUCUAAUGGUUCGUUCCCGUCGGAUACGUUUUGGGCGUUGCAUGCGGCGUGAUUACAUAGAAAGUUAAUGCAGUUCUCGCAGAUAGACGUCAAUCCGUUGCGGGCAGUGUGUAUGAUGCGUUUGAUGCAGCGCGAAAAUCUGUCUCCUUUGCCCGUUCGCUUGAAGCUGGCAGAGCUGCACAACAAACCACAUUCGCAUCGUGACAGCCAAUCAGCAUUGAGAAUGGACUACGUCACAGACCAUGUCCUGUACACUUGUUGAGUAGAGGAAAAUGGAGGUGGUGAUUGUUGCAGUCUGUGGACACCCUGAGCUGUUUGACACGACAUGUUAUGACCGGGACUGCGCAAGAAAGGAGCAGGAUUGGAAAAUCGUGAAGGAAGAAAGCUGGCAUACCUGAUGAACUUUAUCGGACAGAUGAGGUGGAACAGGAGGAGGGUCAAGGAGAACAGGAUGCUGCUGCCUCUUCCCCACCUCAAAGAUUGCCUGGGGGUGCACACACACUUACGGUGCCCCAUUGACUGCUUUUUGGCUGUUAUCGUGCUGCUAACCUCACAUCAGGGCUGUCAAGGCGAAGGGUUCCUCACAUCGGGGUUCCUCAUGUGGCCGCCUCCACCACAUUCCUCU
Phyllopteryx taeniolatus (common seadragon) is the source of this 1682-nucleotide long non-coding RNA. RefSeq lists it as uncharacterized. The transcript is spliced from 3 exons. The record is from RefSeq and is a predicted model, not a curated record. Lineage: Eukaryota; Metazoa; Chordata; Actinopteri; Syngnathiformes; Syngnathidae.